RNAcentral lists this ribosomal RNA (1410 nucleotides) under uncultured archaeon SAGMA-Z. RNAcentral's name for it is "partial 16S rRNA". It matches the Rfam family "Archaeal small subunit ribosomal RNA". The record is from RNAcentral.
CCGGACCUGACUGCUAUCGGAUUGGUACUAAGCCAUGCGAGUCGUUGUAGCAAUACAAGGCGGAUUGCUCAGUAACACGUAGUUAAUCUAACCUAUGGAUGGGCAUAACCUCGGGAAACUGAGAAUAAUACCCAAUAGACCACAGUGCCUGGAAUGGCCUGUGGUUCAAAUGAUUUAUCGCCGCAGGAUGGGACUGCGGCCUAUCAGCUAGUUGGUGAGGUAAUGGCCCACCAAGGCUAUAACAGGUACGGGCUCUGAGAGGAGGGGCCCGGAGAUGGGUACUGAGACACGGACCCAGGCCCUAUGGGGCGCAGCAGGCGAGAAACCUUUGCAAUGUGCGAAAGCACGACAAGGUUAAUCCGAGUGUCUCCCGCUAAGGGAGUCUUUUGUCAGUUCUAGAACCACUGGUGAAUAAGGGGUGGGCAAGUUCUGGUGUCAGCCGCCGCGGUAAAACCAGCACCUCGAGUGGUCAGGAGGUUUAUUGGGCCUAAAGCAUCCGUAGCCGGUUGCAUAAGUUUUCGGUUAAAUCUAUGCGCUUAACGUAUAGGCCGCCGAAAAUACUGUGCAGCUAGGGAGUGGGAGAGGUACACGGUACUCGAUAGGAAGGGGUAAAAUCCUUUGAUCUAUUGAUGACCACCAGUGGCGAAGGCGGCUUGCCAGAACGCGCUCGACGGUGAGGGAUGAAAGCUGGGGGAGCAAACCGGAUUAGAUACCCGGGUAGUCCCAGCUGUAAACGAUGCAGACUCGGUGAUGGGUUGGCUUCGAGCCAACCCAGUGCCGCAGGGAAGCCGUUAAGUCUGCCGCCUGGGGAGUACGGUCGCAAGACUUGAAACUUAAAGGAAUUGGCGGGGGGAGCACCACCAAGGGGUGAAGCCUGCGGUUCAAUUGGAGUCAACGCCGGAAAUCUUACCGGGAGCGACAGCAGAGUGAAGGUCGAGCUGAAGACUUUACCAGACAAGCUGAGAGGAGGUGCAUGGCCGUCGCCAGCUCGUGCCGUGAGGUGUCCUGUUAAGUCAGGUAACGAGCAAGAUCCCUGCCUCUAGUUGCUACUGCUGGUCUCAGGACUAGCAGGGCUAAUUAGAGGGACCGCCGCCGCUGAGGCGGAGGAAGGAGGGGGCUACGGCAGGUCAGUAUGCCCCGAAACUUCCGGGCCACACGCGGGCUGCAAUGGUAAGGACAACGGGCUCCGAUUCCGAAAGGAGGAGGCAAUCCCACAAACCUUACCUCAGUUAUGAUUGAGGGCUGAAACUCGCCCUCAUGAAUCUGGAAUCCCUAGUAACCGCGUGUCACUAUCGCGCGGUGAAUACGUCCCUGCUCCUUGCACACACCGCCCGUCGCUUCACCGAAGCUGGUUCUUGGCGAGGUGGCGCCUAAUUGGCGCUAUCGAACCUGGGGUCAGCAACGGGGGAG